RNAcentral lists this ribosomal RNA (481 nucleotides) under uncultured bacterium. RNAcentral's name for it is "bacterial SSU rRNA". It matches the Rfam family "Bacterial small subunit ribosomal RNA", at positions 28 to 525 of the family's 1533-position model. The record is from RNAcentral.
GAUGAACGCUGGCGGUAUGCUUUACACAUGCAAGUCGAACGAAAGUUUUUUAAACUUUAGUGGCGGACGGGUGAGUAACACGUGAGAAUUUACCUUUAGGAGGGGAAUAACAAUUGGAAACAAUUGCUAAUGCCGCAUAUUAUUAAAACAAUAAAAGAAGAAAUUCGCCUAAAGAAAAGCUUGCGUCUGAUUAGCUAGUUGGUGGGGUAAAGGCCUACCAAGGCGACGAUCAGUAGCUGGUUUGAGAGGAUGACCAGUCACACUGGAACUGAGACACGGUCCAGACUCCUGCGGGAGGCAGCAGUGGGGAAUAUUGGACAAUGGGCGCAAGCCUGAUCCAGCAAUGCCGCGUGUGUGAAGAAGGCCUGCGGGUUGUAAAGCACUUUAUCGGGAAAGAAAUGCCUAAGGUUAAUACCCUUGGGUCUUGACGGUACCCGUUGAAUAAGCACCGGCUAACUCCGUGCCAGCCGCCGCGGUAAUU